AGCAGCGGGACCGCAGAACGCGCGUUAACUCCUUCAAACGAAGGCGGAGAGGCGUUCUGCGAGGCCGUUGUUUCGAACAAACACGCCGACGAAGUUUACGGGACGGCGAAGCGUCGCCCCGAGGGCGCUCCCCGCGGUGCCGCGCUGUGCCCCCCCCCCCCGGAGCCCGGCCGAGUUUCGGAGCAGCCCCCGAGCCCAGCCCGCCGCGCUCGGUCAGCGAGCAGCGCAGUGCAGCGCCUUGCUCCCCCGGCUCCCCGCCCGGCUCGGCGCAGCCCGCUCCCUUCGCGGCCGCCCUUUUACCUGGCGUGGCGUCCGCCGGCUCGGCGCGGCUCCCCGCGCGCAGCAGCAGGAGCAGCGGGAGCAGCAGGAACCUCCCGUCCCCGCCGCCCGGCCGGGGCGGCUGCCGCAUUCCUGAGCCGACGCCGCGUUACUCCGACAUCCACCGCGCAGCGCCGGCGUCCCGGCCCGGCCCGCGCAGCGCCGCGGGGCCGCCUCUCUUCUCCUCUCUCCUCCGUCCGUCCCGCGCCGCGCCCUCGGGGCUGCGCUCUGCCGGCGGGAGGGGAAGGCGGCGCGGGCGGCCGCCUCAGCCCUCACUUGUCACUUUCCGCCCGCUCCGCUCCGCGCGCAGCCCGGCCCAGCCCCGGCCGAGCCCCCGCUCAGCCCGGCCCCGCAGCGCCCCCUGCCGACCCGCGCGCUCAACGCCUCCCGCCCCUCGGCCCCGGGGGGGCGCUCGCUUCCCGCCGCCGGGCGCCAUUUUGCCCCGCGCGGCCGUCGGGGCUGUGCGGGAGCGGGGUACGUGGGAGGGCUGGAAUCGCCCCGCCGAAGCGUGCCACAGCGCGAGCAGCGGUCAGCCCGUACCUGCCCCGCGCGCCAGAGCCUCCCAGAGUUUAUCCUGCUGAGCUCUUUGGGUGUCCCGCUGUCCUUUUGAGACCAUUGCCAUUGAAGCAAAGAAACCACAAACUUACAGUCCAGGAAAGGGAUCUCUCAGCUGCCCUUCACACGCGGGUUGAGAGGCUUCCAAUUUUCCGCUCAGCAAACUUAAAACUCACUGUGCGCCUCCUUUUCCUGUCAGUCAGGAGCUCAGAAGCCCAGCUAGCACCUGAGGAACUCUUUUCAACCCUCCCUGCCAUAGUGGGAUCAACAUUUAACUCGCUAAUUAUCUGCUAG
This 1167-nucleotide long non-coding RNA is filed under the name Numida meleagris (helmeted guineafowl). RNAcentral's name for it is "lncRNA (ENSNMEG00000009571.1)". The record is from RNAcentral. Lineage: Eukaryota; Metazoa; Chordata; Aves; Galliformes; Numididae.